AUACGUAGGGGGCGAGCGUUGUCCGGAAUGAUUGGGCGUAAAGGGCGCGUAGGCGGCGCGGUAAGUCUGGAGUGAAAGUCCUGCUUUCAAGGUGGGAAUUGCUUUGGAUACUGACGCGCUUGAGUGCAGGAGAGGUUAUCGGAAUUCCCGGUGUAGCGGUGAAAUGCGUAGAGAUCGGGAGGAACACCAGUGGCGAAGGCGGGUAACUGGACUGCAACUGACGCUGAGGCGCGAAAGUGUGGGGAGCAAACAGGAUUAGAUACCCUGGUAGUCCACACUGUAAACGAUGAAUGCUAGGUGUAAGAGGUAUCGACCCCUUUUGUGCCGGAGUCAACACAAUAAGCAUUCCGCCUGGGGAGUACGGCCGCAAGGUUGAAACUCAAAUGAAUUGACGGGG
This 397-nucleotide ribosomal RNA is filed under the name uncultured bacterium. Its description in RNAcentral is "partial 16S ribosomal RNA". It matches the Rfam family "Bacterial small subunit ribosomal RNA", at positions 523 to 918 of the family's 1533-position model. The record is from RNAcentral.